GGGAUUAGCUAGUAGGUAAGGUAAUGGCUUACCUAGGCGACGAUCCCUAGCUGGUCUGAGAGGAUGACCAGCCACACUGGAACUGAGACACGGUCCAGACUCCUACGGGAGGCAGCAGUGGGGAAUAUUGCACAAUGGGCGCAAGCCUGAUGCAGCCAUGCCGCGUGUAUGAAGAAGGCCUUCGGGUUGUAAAGUACUUUCAGUCAGGAGGAAGGGUGUGAAAUUAAUACUUUCAUGCAUUGACGUUACUGACAGAAGAAGCACCGGCUAACUCCGUGCCAGCAGCCGCGGUAAUACGGAGGGUGCAAGCGUUAAUCGGAAUUACUGGGCGUAAAGCGCACGCAGGCGGUUUGUUAAGUCAGAUGUGAAAUCCCCGGGCUCAACCUGGGAACUGCAUUUGAAACUGGCAAGCUU
RNAcentral lists this ribosomal RNA (414 nucleotides) under Pantoea sp. H3-4-f. RNAcentral describes it as "bacterial SSU rRNA". It matches the Rfam family "Bacterial small subunit ribosomal RNA", at positions 237 to 643 of the family's 1533-position model. The record is from RNAcentral. Lineage: Bacteria; Pseudomonadati; Pseudomonadota; Gammaproteobacteria; Enterobacterales; Erwiniaceae.